CUCUAUGGUUAAUACCCAUAGACGAUGACAUUAGCUGCAGAAUAAGCACCGGCUAACUCUGUGCCAGCAGCCGCGGUAAUACAGAGGGUGCAAGCGUUAAUCGGAAUUACUGGGCGUAAAGCGAGCGUAGGUGGCUUGAUAAGUCAGAUGUGAAAUCCCCGGGCUUAACCUGGGAACUGCAUCUGAAACUGUUAGGCUAGAGUAGGUGAGAGGGAAGUAGAAUUUCAGGUGUAGCGGUGAAAUGCGUAGAGAUCUGAAGGAAUACCGAUGGCGAAGGCAGCUUCCUGGCAUCAUACUGACACUGAGGCUCGAAAGCGUGGGUAGCAAACAGGAUUAGAUACCCUGGUAGUCCACGCCGUAAACGAUGUC
RNAcentral lists this ribosomal RNA (369 nucleotides) under uncultured Psychrobacter sp. Its description in RNAcentral is "bacterial SSU rRNA". It matches the Rfam family "Bacterial small subunit ribosomal RNA", at positions 446 to 813 of the family's 1533-position model. The record is from RNAcentral. Lineage: Bacteria; Pseudomonadati; Pseudomonadota; Gammaproteobacteria; Moraxellales; Moraxellaceae.